This 395-nucleotide ribosomal RNA is filed under the name uncultured bacterium. Its description in RNAcentral is "bacterial SSU rRNA". It matches the Rfam family "Bacterial small subunit ribosomal RNA", at positions 30 to 422 of the family's 1533-position model. The record is from RNAcentral.
AUUGAACGCUGGCGGCAUGCUUUACACAUGCAAGUCGAACGGCAGCACGGGAGCUUGCUCCUGGUGGCGAGUGGCGAACGGGUGAGUAAUGCAUCGGAACGUGCCCUGAAGUGGGGGAUAACGUAGCGAAAGUUGCGCUAAUACCGCAUAUUCUGUGAGCAGGAAAGCAGGGGACCGCAAGGCCUUGCGCUCUUUGAGCGGCCGAUGUCAGAUUAGCUAGUUGGUGAGGUAACGGCUUACCAAGGCGACGAUCUGUAGCGGGUCUGAGAGGAUGAUCCGCCACACUGGAACUGAGACACGGUCCAGACUCCUACGGGAGGCAGCAGUGGGGGAAUUUUGGACAAUGGGCGCAAGCCUGAUCCAGCCAUGCCGCGUGAGUGAAGAAGGCCUUCGGG